This 517-nucleotide ribosomal RNA is filed under the name uncultured Photobacterium sp. Its description in RNAcentral is "bacterial SSU rRNA". It matches the Rfam family "Bacterial small subunit ribosomal RNA", at positions 989 to 1506 of the family's 1533-position model. The record is from RNAcentral. Lineage: Bacteria; Pseudomonadati; Pseudomonadota; Gammaproteobacteria; Vibrionales; Vibrionaceae.
CAGAGAACUUUCCAGAGAUGGAUGGUGCUUUCGGGAACUCUGAGACAGGUGCUGCAUGGCUGUCGUCAGCUCGUGUUGUGAAAUGUUGGGUUAAGUCCCGCAACGAGCGCAACCCUUAUCCUUGUUUGCCAGCACGUAAUGGUGGGAACUCCAGGGAGACUGCCGGUGAUAAACCGGAGGAAGGUGGGGACGACGUCAAGUCAUCAUGGCCCUUACGAGUAGGGCUACACACGUGCUACAAUGGCGUAUACAGAGGGCUGCCAACCAGCGAUGGUGAGCGAACCCCAGAAAGUACGUCGUAGUCCGGAUUGGAGUCUGCAACUCGACUCCAUGAAGUCGGAAUCGCUAGUAAUCGUGAAUCAGAAUGUCACGGUGAAUACGUUCCCGGGCCUUGUACACACCGCCCGUCACACCAUGGGAGUGGGCUGCACCAGAAGUAGAUAGCUUAACCUUCGGGAGGGCGUUUACCACGGUGUGGUUCAUGACUGGGGUGAAGUCGUAACAAGGUAACCAAGGG